This 253-nucleotide ribosomal RNA is filed under the name uncultured bacterium. RNAcentral's name for it is "partial 16S ribosomal RNA". It matches the Rfam family "Bacterial small subunit ribosomal RNA", at positions 524 to 776 of the family's 1533-position model. The record is from RNAcentral.
UACAGAGGUCUCAAGCGUUGUUCGGAUUCAUUGGGCGUAAAGGGCGCGUAGGCUGCGGGGCAAGUCGGGUGUGAAAUCUCGGAGCUUAACUCCGAAACUGCAUUCGAUACUGCCGUGCUUGAGGACUGGAGAGGAGACUGGAAUUUACGGUGUAGCGGUGAAAUGCGUAGAUAUCGUAAGGAAGACCAGUGGCGAAGGCGGGUCUCUGGACAGUUCCUGACGCUGAGGCACGAAGGUCAGGGGAGCAAACGGG